This 222-nucleotide ribosomal RNA is filed under the name uncultured bacterium. RNAcentral's name for it is "partial 16S ribosomal RNA". It matches the Rfam family "Bacterial small subunit ribosomal RNA", at positions 524 to 744 of the family's 1533-position model. The record is from RNAcentral.
UACGUAGGUGGCAAGCGUUGUCCGGAUUUACUGGGCGUAAAGGAUGCGUAGGCGGACAUUUAAGUCAGAUGUGAAAUACCCGAGCUUAACUUGGGUGCUGCAUUUGAAACUGGGUGUCUAGAGUGCAGGAGAGGUAAGUGGAAUUCCUAGUGUAGCGGUGAAAUGCGUAGAGAUUAGGAAGAACACCAGUGGCGGAAGGCGGCUUACUGGUCCGGUUCUGAC